Molecule: microRNA precursor, 111 nt
Filed under: Caenorhabditis japonica
Lineage: Eukaryota; Metazoa; Nematoda; Chromadorea; Rhabditida; Rhabditidae
Description: pre miRNA CJA48960
Source: RNAcentral
CAAAAAAAAAACGAGUAAAAAAGCUUUUGUGAACGAAACUACGGUCAUUUCCAGGAAUGUUUUGACCGUAACAACGGUCACAAAAGCUUUCGUUCUCCAACAAAAUAAUUA